ACCUCUUGAAGACCGUGACAGCUCUUCUAUUCUUAAUGUCUUGCUGCCCAAAGGUCCAAUUGAAUUAAAAUUGAAAGCGCAAUGCACGUGACCGUCCAGCUACAUUUUCAAUUCAGCGCUGCUCCAUUCUUCUGUUAAGCUCCCAAUUUACUUUGUUGAACCUUGGCUUUAUCUAAAAGCUAAAAACAUGUGCACNUCUUGCUUAAGUCAGCCCACAGCGAAGACGUCACCAUUUCUUCCAAAAUAGCCAUGCUUUGCUGGACAUGAGCUAAGGACGGGUGCAGGCCGAGAUUCUCCAAUUUCUUCAAAUUUUAAUUGCCAUCCUCACCCCUCAAUUACAAAAUCCACACCUUCUCACUCACUUAAGUUCAUUUUAACCUUUAGAUGUCCCAAGUUGUAUUUCCAAAAUUUUCCCUGAAAAUAAUAAUGCAAAUAAUUANCUCAGAAUAUUCAAAUUAAUUAAAAUUAGAAUUUCGGGUCAAAUUAAGCACAAUUAGGAAAAACGGGAAAAUAUCGGACAAUUAAGCUCAAUUCCCUGAUUAAAUUCCGUACAAUAAACUAAGUGAAAUCAAUAAAAUAUCGACUCAUCAAAAUAGACCACACUU
Molecule: long non-coding RNA, 605 nt
Filed under: Vigna radiata
Lineage: Eukaryota; Viridiplantae; Streptophyta; Magnoliopsida; Fabales; Fabaceae
Description: long non-coding RNA (VRAD_LNC006402)
Source: RNAcentral